Non-coding RNA from Manis javanica (Malayan pangolin), 457 nucleotides. The record is from RefSeq and is a predicted model, not a curated record. NCBI's taxonomy places the organism in Eukaryota, Metazoa, Chordata, Mammalia, Pholidota, Manidae.
UCUCCGAGCUCUGCCAUUUGAUGGUGAUGACAACUUGAAGCUUUUAGAUCCCACCUCUGUUGCAGUUGCAGCUGCAUUCAUCCUGCUGGUUCCUGGACUUGGUGGUGGAAUGCAAAAAGAGAUAUUUAAGCUGGCUUGUGUAUAUAGUAAGACAACGAAUUUGACUGCUUCUGUAUUAUCUGAACUCAAUCAAGAGCUAGGAGAAGUGCUAUUGUGGUGCUUCAAAAUCGUGCUACGACUAUCUGCUGUUAAAAGAACAUAUGGAGUGCCUGAAAGAAAGACUGGGGCAUAUAAUAAAAUUAUAAAUAUUCUUUCUUAAAAAAAAGAAGGUGAAAGAGAAAGAAUUAGAAAGAGAAAGAGGAGAUAAGAAGGAUAAAGAAAAAUUGGAAUAUUCUUCCAAAGACAAGAAGUAAAAAGAUGAAUGUACCACGACAAGGAAAGAAAGAUUUGUAGAGAA